GGGACCUUCCGGCCUUGCGCUAUCAAAUGAACCUAGGUCGGAUUAACUAGUUGGUGGGGUAAUGGCUCACCAAGGCGACGAUCCGUAACUGGUCUGAGAGGAUGAUCAGUCACACUGGAACUGAGACACGGUCCACACUCCUACGGGAGGCAGCAGUGGGGAAUAUUGGACAAUGGGCGAAAGCCUGAUCCAGCCAUGCCGCGUGUGUGAAGAAGGUCUUCGGAUUGUAAAGCACUUUAAGUUGGGAGGAAGGGUUGUAGAUUAUUACUCUGCAAUUUUGACGUUACCGACAAAAUAAGCACCGGCUAACUCUGUGCCACCAGCCGCGGUAAUACAGAGGGUGCAAGCGUUAAUCUGAAUUACUGGGCGUAAAGCGCGCGUAGGUGGUUUGUUAAUUUGGAUGUGAAAAUCCCCCGGGCUCAACCUGGGAACUGCAUUUCAAAACUGACUGACUAGAGUAUGGUAGAGGGUGGUGGAAUUUCCUGUGUAGCGGUGAAAUGC
Molecule: ribosomal RNA, 501 nt
Filed under: uncultured bacterium
Lineage: Bacteria
Description: bacterial SSU rRNA
Rfam family: Bacterial small subunit ribosomal RNA
Source: RNAcentral